RNAcentral lists this ribosomal RNA (255 nucleotides) under uncultured bacterium. RNAcentral describes it as "partial 16S ribosomal RNA". It matches the Rfam family "Bacterial small subunit ribosomal RNA", at positions 524 to 776 of the family's 1533-position model. The record is from RNAcentral.
UACGGAGGGUGCGAGCGUUGUCCGGAAUUACUGGGCGUAAAGAGCUCGUAGGCGGUCUGUCGCGUCGGCUGUGAAAAACCCGGAGCUCAACUCCGGGCCUGCAGUCGAUACGGGCAGACUGGAGUUCGGCAGGGGAGACUGGAAUUCCUGGUGUAGCGGUGAAAUGCGCAGAUAUCAGGAGGAACACCGGUGGCGGAAGGCGGGUCUCUGGGCCGAUACUGACGCUGAGGAGCGAAAGCGUGGGGAGCGAACAGG